CAGGUGGGUGAGGAGAGUAUCCUAAGGCCAGCGAGAGAACUGUUGUUAAGGAACUCGGCAAAAUGACCCCGUAACUUAGGGAUAAGGGGUGCCACCAUCAGGGGGCCGCAGAGAAUAGGCCCAAGCGACUGUUUACCAAAAACAUAGGUUUCUGCUAAGUCGCAAGACGAUGUAUAGGAGCUGACGCCUGCCCGGUGCUGGAAG
RNAcentral lists this ribosomal RNA (204 nucleotides) under Clostridioides difficile. RNAcentral describes it as "partial 23S ribosomal RNA". It matches the Rfam family "Bacterial large subunit ribosomal RNA", at positions 1660 to 1875 of the family's 2925-position model. Lineage: Bacteria; Bacillati; Bacillota; Clostridia; Peptostreptococcales; Peptostreptococcaceae. The record is from RNAcentral.